GGGGCAUCAGGUAGCAACAAUA
This 22-nucleotide unclassified non-coding RNA is filed under the name Dictyostelium discoideum. The record is from RNAcentral. Lineage: Eukaryota; Evosea; Eumycetozoa; Dictyosteliales; Dictyosteliaceae.